Molecule: non-coding RNA, 95 nt
Filed under: human gut metagenome
Also listed under: 1 other name
Description: SAM riboswitch (S box leader)
Rfam family: SAM riboswitch aptamer (S box leader)
About the family: The SAM riboswitch is found upstream of a number of genes which code for proteins involved in methionine or cysteine biosynthesis in Gram-positive bacteria. The SAM riboswitch acts at the level of transcription termination control. The predicted structure consists of a complex stem-loop region followed by a single stem loop terminator region.
Source: RNAcentral
CUUAUCCAGAGUGACGUAAGGGAACAGGCCCAUUGACGUCCGACAACCUGCUUUUUGCAAGGUGCCAAUUCCUGCGGUGACCGCCGAAAGAUAAG